RNAcentral lists this long non-coding RNA (330 nucleotides) under Phasianus colchicus (ring-necked pheasant). Its description in RNAcentral is "lncRNA (ENSPCLG00000003389.1)". Lineage: Eukaryota; Metazoa; Chordata; Aves; Galliformes; Phasianidae. The record is from RNAcentral.
UCUGUCUUUCCAUUAGUUUUUCUAUAGUAAUUCAUAAAAGGAGAAUAUUUACCAGAUAUUCUGAGUACUACUUGAAUAUAAUCACUUUCUCUGUUUUGAACAGAAGGCCUAUAAAGUGUGCUUGUACACUUCUAUGGAAGACUUAAACUGAAAGAAUCAUUUUUUUCCUUAUUUGCAUAGCCUGCUGAAGAUGGACCUCAGUGUACAUAUGUUGAAGACAAUAAAAUUAUCAUUAUCCAGGCAAUGCCUCCUAUCCAGGGCCACAGUGCUGUACCAAGAGCUCACACUGAACUGAUUACCUGCAAAUCUCUCCCGCUGAAGAUAAUGUUU